Molecule: ribosomal RNA, 399 nt
Filed under: Acanthoscelides desmoditus
Lineage: Eukaryota; Metazoa; Arthropoda; Insecta; Coleoptera; Chrysomelidae
Description: partial 12S small subunit ribosomal RNA
Source: RNAcentral
UAAACUAGGAUUAGAUACCCUAUUAUUAAAAAUGUAAAUUUUAAAUACUAAAUUAGUAUUAGUUAUGUUCUUAAAAAUUAAAAAAUUUGGCGGUAUUUUAGUCUUUUCAGAGGAACUUGUCUCAUAAUCGAUAGUCCACGAUUAGAAGUACUUUAUUUUUUAAUUUGCAUAUCGUCGUAGUUUGAAUAUUUUAAUAGAAUUAUUAAUAUUCAAGAUUUUUUAUUAAAAAUUAAAUCAGAUCAAGGUGUAGUUUAUAAUUAAGUAGAGAUGAGUUACAAUAAAUUUAUUUAAGGAUAAUUUUUAUUAUAGAAAUUUGAAUGUGGAUUUGAUAGUAAUUUUAAUUUUUUUUUUAAAAUGAUUAAAGCUCUAAAAUAUGUACACAUCGCCCGUCGCUCUUAA